RNAcentral lists this ribosomal RNA (813 nucleotides) under Myrmecridium juncicola. Its description in RNAcentral is "partial large subunit ribosomal RNA". It matches the Rfam family "Eukaryotic large subunit ribosomal RNA", at positions 76 to 924 of the family's 3401-position model. The record is from RNAcentral. Lineage: Eukaryota; Fungi; Ascomycota; Sordariomycetes; Myrmecridiales; Myrmecridiaceae.
UGCCCCAGUAACGGCGAGUGAAGCGGCAACAGCUCAAAUUUGAAAUCUGGCGCAAGCCCGAGUUGUAAUUUGCAGAGGAUGCUUUUGGCGCGGUGCCUCCUGAGUUCCCUGGAACGGGACGCCGGAGAGGGUGAGAGCCCCGUACAGUUGGACACCAAGCCUUUGUAAAGCUCCUUCGACGAGUCGAGUAGUUUGGGAAUGCUGCUCAAAAUGGGAGGUAAAUGCCUUCUAAAGCUAAAUACCGGCCAGAGACCGAUAGCGCACAAGUAGAGUGAUCGAAAGAUGAAAAGCACUUUGAAAAGAGGGUUAAACAGUACGUGAAAUUGUUGAAAGGGAAGGGCUCGUGACCAGACUUGCGCCCGUCGGAUCAUCCGGCCUUCUGGCCGGUGCACUCCGGCGGGCUCAGGCCAGCAUCGGUUCUUCUGGGGGGACAAAAGCGGCGGGAACGUGGCUCUUCGGAGUGUUAUAGCCCGCUGCAGAAUACCCCCGGGGGGACCGAGGACCGCGCUUCGGCAAGGAUGCUGGCGUAAUGGUCACCAGCCACCCGUCUUGAAACACGGACCAAGGAGUCAAGCAUUAGGGCGAGUGUUUGGGUGUUAAACCCGCACGCGAAAUGAAAGUGAACGCAGGUGAGAGCUUCGGCGCAUCAUCGACCGAUCCUGAUGUUUUCGGAUGGAUUUGAGUAAGAGCCUUACCGCUUGGACCCGAAAGAUGGUGAACUAUGCUUGGAUAGGGUGAAGCCAGAGGAAACUCUGGUGGAGGCUCGCAGCGGUUCUGACGUGCAAAUCGAUCGUCAAAUCUGAGCAUGGGGGC